GACGAACGCUGGCGGCGUGCCUAAUACAUGCAAGUCGAGCGCAGGAAAUCGACGGAACCCUUCGGGGGGAAGUCGAUGGAAUGAGCGGCGGACGGGUGAGUAACACGUAAAGAACCUGCCCUCAGGUCUGGGAUAGCCACGAGAAAUCGGGGCUAAUACCGGACGGGUCAUCGGACCGCAUGGUCCGAGGAUGAAAGGCGCUUCGGCGUCGCCUGGGGAUGGCUUUGCGGUGCAUUAGCUAGUUGGUGGGGUAAUGGCCCACCAAGGCGACGAUGCAUAGCCGACCUGAGAGGGUGAUCGGCCACACUGGGACUGAGACACGGCCCAGACUCCUACGGGAGGCAGCAGUAGGGAAUCUUCCACAAUGGACGAAAGUCUGAUGGAGCAACGCCGCGUGAACGAUGAAGGCCUUCGGGUCGUAAAGUUCUGUUGUAAGGGAAGAACAAGUGCCGCAGGCAAUGGCGGCACCUUGACGGUACCUUGCGAGAAAGCCACGGCUAACUACGUGCCAGCCGCCGCCGUAA
RNAcentral lists this ribosomal RNA (524 nucleotides) under uncultured bacterium. RNAcentral describes it as "partial 16S ribosomal RNA". It matches the Rfam family "Bacterial small subunit ribosomal RNA", at positions 28 to 523 of the family's 1533-position model. The record is from RNAcentral.